AUUGAACGCUGGCGGCAUGCUUUACACAUGCAAGUCGACGGUAACAGGGAGCUUGCUCCGCUGACGAGUGGCGAACGGGUGAGUAAUGCAUCGGAACGUACCCAGUCGUGGGGGAUAACGUAGCGAAAGUUACGCUAAUACCGCAUACGUCCUGAGGGAGAAAGCGGGGGACCGUAAGGCCUCGCGCGAUUGGAGCGGCCGAUGUCGGAUUAGCUAGUUGGUAGGGUAAAGGCCUACCAAGGCGACGAUCCGUAGCGGGUCUGAGAGGAUGAUCCGCCACACUGGGACUGAGACACGGCCCAGACUCCUACGGGAGGCAGCAGUGGGGAAUUUUGGACAAUGGGCGAAAGCCUGAUCCAGCCAUGCCGCGUGAGUGAAGAAGGCCUUCGGGUUGUAAAGCUCUUUCAGCCGGAAAGAAAUCGCGCAGGAUAAUACUCUGCGUGGAUGACGGUACCGGAAGAAGAAGCACCGGCUAACUACGUG
This 483-nucleotide ribosomal RNA is filed under the name uncultured bacterium. RNAcentral describes it as "bacterial SSU rRNA". It matches the Rfam family "Bacterial small subunit ribosomal RNA", at positions 29 to 507 of the family's 1533-position model. The record is from RNAcentral.